AGUCGUAACAAGGUAACCGUAGGUGAACCUGCGGUUGGAUCAUUAAUGAAAUGUUUCUUAACCGGGGGAUGGAGGGCGCAAGCCCUUUAUUCUCUCACACACCUGGGCUCGGCGGAAACGCUGAGUCCAUACCAUACACACAAAGACCUUGUUUAAGGACAUGACCAUUGCUUGCAGUGGGACAUUGACUGUAAAUAAACACAACUUUUGACAACGGAUCUCUUGGCUCUC
Molecule: unclassified non-coding RNA, 231 nt
Filed under: fungal sp.
Lineage: Eukaryota; Fungi
Description: partial internal transcribed spacer region
Rfam family: Eukaryotic small subunit ribosomal RNA (bases 1-45)
Source: RNAcentral